UUUUUUCAAUUUUUGGCACCUUUAAAAAUAAACCAAACCGUCUCUCUUAUUUAUUAUUCUCCUAAAUUAGUACUUAUUUUCACAUUCAAAAUUUUUGAAUUUCACCUGCAGUCUUUUCAGCCCCUCACGUAUACUACUAUUUUUAUUAGAAGGUUCAUCUUUUUUCUGAUCCUUACCCCUAUCAACUUUAAACAAACCGCCUCCUCUCUAGCUUCUCCGCCUCGCCUCAAAAAUAAGCUAUGAUUAUAUAUGAUAUUUUCAUUUUGUAUGAUAAAUUCAGCUCUAAAAAUAAGAGUUUUAUGAGCAUAAGUUUAAAGUCAUUAUUUUUUACUUUAAAAAGGUAAGUUGUGCACAUAAGCGAUUUGCAAAGGAUGCAUUUAUUAUCACCAUGCGUGAUACAUCUUGCGAGAUGAAAAAUGGUGGAGAACAUGUCUUACUCCCAGAAGAGAUGGAAGAAGCUAGGGCACAUGUUAUUGAAAGAGGCCAUAGCAGCGGCUCGGUGGAGCACCCACCGGCGUCGGGUACCUUCUACAGAUUCAUUGUCUACGCGCCUAGUAGUCUGCGUAGAUACCACGAUCAAUAUCCACCUCCUGACCAGCAUUACCAGGUCUACCAUCAGCAGGCGGCCAAGUAGAACAUGGCCGACCAUGAAGAGAACAAAUAUAUACGCAACACAUCCACACCCGGUUUCUAUCAUGAGCACCAUAUAUAAAUCAGUCUGUACAGCCAAAACGGCAACCGACCUAAAGUAGCAAAAAGAAAAAUUCCAUGCGACUCUGCUGACAACAAUGAAAUAACAUAUGCGACAUGUCAACCAUAAUCCACCACGCGGCAACACCAUUAUUAACCCACACAUGCGACCGUCAAAAAAGGAAACAAAACAGAUGGUAAAAAAUAGAGAAAAUAUCUCAUUGUACGGAUAAGACAUAAAAAAUAUAUUAGAAGAGAUAAAAGAAAAUAAGCCACACACAUAAAACGACCAAAGGAGAAAUAUCUCAAUCCAUAGAAAAAAUAAUAUACUCCGUAUAAUUCAAAAAGGGCAACCGAAAUCACAUGCACGUAGUCACACCGGCCGCCAUGCAGUGAUGCAUGUAAUCAUAUCCCUCCGAAAUUAGCGCCCGUGAUUGCAUGCACCUAUUAGUGGUCAAACCGGAAACAAGACAGAUACUACCACGCAGCAAAAGGCAGUUUGAUCUAACAAAACAAAUCCGAGGAUAAAUCGCCGGGUCCACCCAAUUGCAAUUCCGUAAAAUUCGGUGGUAAAUCCAAGGAAACCUCAAAUAGAAAAAUAAGAAAAAGGAAUCCUUUGCGGGGUAGUGAUGUUAUUAUACUAACACAUAAAGAAAUAAACUAUUUGGGACCGUGCUUGUCGGUGUAUCCGUGUAUGUAUGUCAUGCCCAACUUUGGAUUCUGUUCAAAUAAACACAUUGGGUCGUCAGUCUAAAGCGCAUCAAUCCAGAAUCCAACCAUUCCGAUUAUACAGAUACAAAAUUCGUACUUCAGCCAGAGAGCAUCUCAUGGUGCUUCAUCUGCACGUACAAAUGCUUCCGGCUGUACUGGUUAGUGCCUUGUGAAAGCAUGUGAACUUUUAUAUUAAAGAGAACAACUUAACAUGUACUAUUAAAUUUUCAAGUGCUCACUUAUGUGGAUAGAUCUCCCGUUCGCAUAGGGAUGUCAACAUUGAAAGCGUGGGAUCAUCGCUCGUCCAUUGUAAUAGUAGUUCUGCCCCCACGCCCAAGUACAGUAAACAGGCCCAGCCACCGUACCGUCAGCGCUGCGCCAACUCUCACAUGGACGAACAGGAGCUUUCCCUGCCAUGCAAGUUGCAGCAAACCACGGUGCCCAGGCACGUACGUACUCUUGAGGCCAUCCAUGGAACGUGCCAAGUAAACCAACCUGCAAGUGCAACCGCUGGUGAUACUCGUCACAUAAUGCACUUCACACUUGGAGACACCGGGCCGAAGGGGAAGACCGUGCCACCCGCGUCCACACGCACCUCGACGCCGGAGUCUGCGCGCUCAAGGCAUGCAUAGUCAGCCUCCGCCGCGGACGGGUAUUCGGAGCUAACGCACGUGGAGGACGCCCUAGCCGCACUCGGCGAGUUCCUUGAAUUAUCACCUGCGAACGGUCCACCGUCACGUACAGCUCGUUCGAGCAAGCGCUAAUCGCGCUCGAGCAGAGCGUCGCGGAGCUGCGGGCGGGGGCGUUCAGUUGGGGACGGCACGAUGGUUGCCACCUUGCUUCGGGCACCCAGUCGAUCAGAGAAGGUCAAAAGGAGCAAUGCGGCCUUGCUGUGACAAUGCAACACAUGCCGGGGAAGGUGUUGUCACCGGCGCGAUGGCUUUGGAGGCGGAGCCACAUGAAAAAAAUCGAGAAGCGGCCACCGGCACCACAGGACCUCCGACUCCGGUAACCGUUGUAUAAGUGACACGGAACGGCAGGACGCCGUCCGCCUGGGAGGUCGCGAGCUCGAGGCGGCAGGUUUUCGAAGGCUCCGGCGCGGUCCUCUGCGGCAGGCAGGUCCUCUGUGGCCAGUGCUGCGGUGAAACAGAAGCGAAUCCCACUAUUUAUACACCUUCCGCUCAUCUAGAAAGAACGAUUCAAGCGGCGAUCAAGAAGCAUCGAAUUAAGCGGCAGGAUGUCGGCAUGAACACGUGGCCAGAACAACGACCAAAGCGGCAAGCGAGUACCAGAACCAUCGAGUUAAGCGGCGUUCAAGGGACGAGACUUGCCUGCUCUCUUCCCGUGCUCCCAUCCGUGCUCCCGUGUACGUGCCUUGAUUUGAUUGGAAGAAAAUAAGGCCCGGCCCCAUCCCCUGAAAAUCAGGGGGGAAGAUGAUUAGAUUAAAAAAGAAAAGGAGAAAAUGCCAGCCGUAGAAUAAAGUGGGAGCACGGAUGAGAGCAUGGAAAGGGAGCAGGCAAGCCGGAUCCGCGUUCAAGACCCGAAUUUAGGCAACCAGCAUGCCGCAUAUGCAUGUAAACCGCAACAACCAGAACCACCACAUGCAAAAAAUAACACGGACACGCGUCUACAGAGGCAAAAAUCAAGCAGCAUACAACCGAGCGGGAGACAAACACGGAGGUGGAAAAAAAAACAGCCAGCCCACAACAUCUGUACGCAGUUGGUAGUCUCGCUUCCAGGUUUUUUUCGUCCCAUCUCCCACGGUUUAUUUUCGCUCUAAAAAAAUCUACGAACUUUCGCAGGUUAACCAGGGACAACUCCCACCUCCCAGAUUUUUUUUCGUCCCACCUCUCAUGGUUUCUUUGGUACCUCGUCCCACCUCACACUAAGCCGCCACGAACCGCAAAAACCGCCUACCUUAGCCAAAUCAACAAAUCUCUCUCAUUAAUGCAAUUUUUUUAGGAAACAAAUAAUAGAUUCUUUCCUACCUUAGCCAAAUCAACGGAUCUCUCCCAUUAAUGCAAUUUGCUUUAGUAAACAAAUAAUAGAUUCUUUCCUACCUUAGCCAAAUCAACGGAUCUCUCUCAUUAAUGCAAUUUGCUUUAGGAAACAAAUAAUAGAUUUUCAGGAAACAAAUAAUCUCUAAUAUCUAAUCUCUAAUCUCUAUCUCCAAUCUCUAUCUCUGAUCUCUAAUCCCUAAUCUCUAAUCUCUAAUCUCUAAUCUCUAAUAAUAAUAAUAAUCUCUAUCUCUACUCCUAAUGGACAAGUUGGUUGAAUAGUCCGGUUUAUUUUCGUCUCACAUCCCACCACCAUAUCUACUCACGUUAAUUUUUUUUACCCUCACAAUAAAAAGUUUCCUAACCUUUCCAAAGUUUCCUAACUAGACACGUUAUAAACGGGCAGGAACUGAUAGCACGUUACCAAUCAAUAAAAUUUAGUUUCAUGACAAUCAAUUCCAAAUCCUAAUUUUCCUAAUACGUCGAUCUUUCUCAAAUCCUAAUAAGCCCUCUUCCUCUUUCCUUUUUCACCGCUCCACCUAGAAAAAAAGACCCAUCAAUCACGCAACCCCUCCCUGCCUCUCCCCAACUCCCCAAGCGACAUCCUCUCUCCCCUCCCUGCCGUCCCCCAAGACGCCCUCGUGGGCGCACUCUUCAUCGGAGCGCCGUCCGCUGGAAGCCGGAGUCGGGUUGGAGAGCAGCCACCAGCGGGGGAGACCACAAGGGGAGGUGUUGGUUCUUCCUCCGAUUGAUGCAUCCGCUCGUGGGGGCAUUGCUGGUGGGGGGCGAGGAGCGAUGUUGGUGGCCAUGCUGGGGCCCGGCGGCGUGGGCGGGCGCGCUGGAACUGGUUGUGUCGAUGGCGUCGUUACCGCCGGAGACCACAUUCGUGUGGGCGCUGGCCAGCGCCGGGUGCGUGGCCGGGUAGGUGCGCGUGCCUCUCGACGGUCUGCUCGACCCGGCCGGGUCGGCAGCUGUACGGCUUCGAUGUGCUGCGCACUGCAAAGGGCUUCCGUCGCUCGAUGAGGUCAUCCAGCAGUAAGGGGAAAACCCCCCUUCGAUCCCUAACACUACCCCACCACAAUAAUCCAUUGCUAAAUUUUCUAUGACUGUUUGGUUAAAUUUGCAGGUCGGACAAGCUCGUUGGCCACAUUGGGUAGCUGCCACCCUCUGCUGAGAUUGUUCACACCAUGGAUGAGUUCUCCAACACUGUAAGCUACUCUUCUUUGGUUACGUUUUAUUUAAUCUGUGUAGAUUGAUGUGGGUUGGCUGAUGAUUGGCUAGGUUUGCUCGGUCAUUGAUUCGGCGGAGCUAUGCAGGGACACGCACUCAGAUAGGUGAUUGGAUGACGUCUGCUUGCUUCUUGUGUAAUAAUUUGGAAGCUCUGAAGCAAAGUGCUUUCAGUUUUCUUUUACUGAAUAUAAAUAUGUAUGUGAACUAGGGAGUUUACGGAGGAAGCAGAUAAGGCAUUAAUGACGAAUUAUGAGCAUCUUCAAGUAAGGUCUAUAACAUAAAUGGCAUCUGUGAAAAGGGAGAGAGCAGAGUGAAAUGACGGGUAGUUUCGUGUUGGACAUCACAGCGAGCCGGCCUGGCACCGGUAACACACUCGGGCAUGGCCCGGAGUUGCAACUCGUCCAUGGUGCCCAUGACGCCCAACUCCCACUCAUGGGUGUACGACCGGAUGCGCUUGUUCACCAGGCUGACGCACCUUUUUUCAAUUUUUGGCACCUUCAAAAAUAAACCGCCUCCUCUCUAGCUUCUCGCACAAACCGUCUCUCUUAUUUAUUAUUCUCCUAAAUUAGUACUUACUUUCAGAUUCAAAAUUUUUGAAUUUCACGUGCAGUCUUUUCAGCCCCUCACGUAUACUACUAUUUUUAUUAGAAGAUCCAUCUUUUUUCUGAUCCUUACCCCUAUCAACUUUAAAUAAACCGCCUCCU
This 5332-nucleotide long non-coding RNA is filed under the name Triticum aestivum (bread wheat). RNAcentral describes it as "long non-coding RNA (TAES_LNC021774)". Lineage: Eukaryota; Viridiplantae; Streptophyta; Magnoliopsida; Poales; Poaceae. The record is from RNAcentral.